RNAcentral lists this ribosomal RNA (797 nucleotides) under Bacillota bacterium. Its description in RNAcentral is "bacterial SSU rRNA". It matches the Rfam family "Bacterial small subunit ribosomal RNA", at positions 1 to 759 of the family's 1533-position model. Lineage: Bacteria; Bacillati; Bacillota. The record is from RNAcentral.
UUAAUCGAGAGUUUGAUCCUGGCUCAGGACGAACGCUGGCGGCGUGCCUAAUACAUGCAAGUCGAACGCACUCUCGUUAGAUUGAAGAAGCUUGCUUCUGAUUGAUAACAUUUGAGUGAGUGGCGGACGGGUGAGUAACACGUGGGUAACCUGCCCUAAAGUGGGGGAUAACAUUUGGAAACAGAUGCUAAUACCGCAUAAAACCUAGCACCGCAUGGUGCAAGGUUGAAAGAUGGUUUCGGCUAUCACUUUAGGAUGGACCCGCGGUGCAUUAGUUAGUUGGUGAGGUAAAGGCUCACCAAGACCGUGAUGCAUAGCCGACCUGAGAGGGUAAUCGGCCACACUGGGACUGAGACACGGCCCAGACUCCUACGGGAGGCAGCAGUAGGGAAUCUUCCACAAUGGACGAAAGUCUGAUGGAGCAACGCCGCGUGAGUGAAGAAGGUUUUCGGAUCGUAAAACUCUGUUGUUGGAGAAGAACGUAUUUGAUAGUAACUGAUCAGGUAGUGACGGUAUCCAACCAGAAAGCCACGGCUAACUACGUGCCAGCAGCCGCGGUAAUACGUAGGUGGCAAGCGUUGUCCGGAUUUAUUGGGCGUAAAGCGAGCGCAGGCGGUUUCUUAAGUCUGAUGUGAAAGCCUUCGGCUCAACCGAAGAAGUGCAUCGGAAACUGGGAAACUUGAGUGCAGAAGAGGACAGUGGAACUCCAUGUGUAGCGGUGAAAUGCGUAGAUAUAUGGAAGAACACCAGUGGCGAAGGCGGCUGUCUGGUCUGUAACUGACGCUGAGGCUCGAAAG